Molecule: long non-coding RNA, 447 nt
Organism: Micropterus dolomieu (smallmouth bass)
Lineage: Eukaryota; Metazoa; Chordata; Actinopteri; Centrarchiformes; Centrarchidae
Exons: 2
Source: RefSeq, a predicted model, not a curated record
UUGUAGGUUGAUAGACAAGUGGUGCCAAUGGGCACCACUCCAAAAAAAAAAUAAUGAUCAUAAACAUCAGGAACCCACAACUUAGGUUUUAGUUUCGGGUUGUCAUCUUUAAGGUUGUGUCUGAGCUUGACCUUUUCCCCAAAGCAAAAAGCCCAGAAAGCCAUGCAUGGCUCUGUGGACAGAAAAGUCACCCACUCCAUCACUUUGGUCCGGAAAUUUUUCAACAAUUAUUGGAUGGAUUACCAUACAGUUUUGCAACAAUGUUCAUGUUCCCCAGAGGACGAAACCUACUGACUUUUAUUGUAGCUUAUGAUCAUUACCUUUUUUUUUAAGCUGCACAAUUAUAAUGCUUUUAAUCAUAAGUUAAAAAAAACACACGCUACUCACUGUACAGUAUACUGUCUUUAUAUCGCAAUACAAGUUUGUUUGCUGUUAUUCAAGUGGCGA